RNAcentral lists this ribosomal RNA (725 nucleotides) under Parasagitta setosa. RNAcentral describes it as "bacterial SSU rRNA". It matches the Rfam family "Eukaryotic small subunit ribosomal RNA", at positions 51 to 758 of the family's 1831-position model. Lineage: Eukaryota; Metazoa; Chaetognatha; Sagittoidea; Aphragmophora; Sagittidae. The record is from RNAcentral.
AUGCAAGUGUCAGCACAUGCCGCCAAAUGGCUAAGCCGCGAACGGCUCAUUAAAUCAGCUAUGGUUCCUUAGAUCUUCGGCCGCGUCCUCGGACGUGGCGUUUGGAUAACUGUGGUAAUUCUAGAGCUAAUACAUGCCUGUCGCCGUCGGGGCCCGCGAGGGUCGCGACGUCUUUAUCCCGUCAAGACCAGCCAACGCAGCGCGGUUCUCGGACCGUGGCGGUUGACCUCUUUGAUGAACUCUGGAUAACUCCACUUGACCGCAUGGCCUUGCGCCGGCGGCUGAUCUAAUAAAUGUCUGCCUUAUCAACUGUCGACGGUAGGAGCCCGGCCUACCGUGGUGAUAACGGGUAGCGGGGAAUAAGGGUUCUAUACCGGAGAGGGAGCAUGAGAAACGGCUACCACAUCCAAGGAAGGCAGCAGGCACGCAAAUUACCCACUCCCGGCACGGGGAGGUAGUGACGAUCAAUAACGAUGCGGGACUCUGACGAGGCUCCGUAAUCGGAAUGGGCGUAAUUUAAAUCCUUCGACGAGGAUCAAGUGGAGGGCAAGUCUGGUGCCAGCAGCCGCGGUAAUUCCAGCUCCACUAGCGUAUAUUAAAGUUGCUGCAGUUAAAAAGCUCGUAGUCGGAUCUCGGGAUCGUGUCGGUGAUUUGGUUGCUUCUCCUGCGUUUCGGCGUUGGGGGUUGUGGCCGGUCAUCGGCCCUGCCGGCGAGGUCCCUACCUU